CGAGUGCUCGCGGUGCUGUUCGUUACCCCUACCAGUUACUCCAGCUAGUCGCGUACGUACUACCGCCCGCCGCCGCUCGUUCACGCAGUGACCUUGCCGUGAGACGUGUGUAUCAGUGCGAUAUCACUCCCGUCGUAUACCGGCGAAUUGUGAAUUGAACGGCGUGUCGUUAAUUGGCCUAAAUGUAAUCGUGUGAUCAAUCUCGAUUUUAAUAUGGGAUAAACAAUUUGAAUCGAGUUCGACGUGCGUGGAUCGUGUACAUCGGUGACCUGUUGCCGGGCUGUUCCGGGCAGGCUGGACUCGAUGCGCUGCGAGCGAUCAGUGAUAUCCAAUGAGAGCUCAGUUUUCUUCGAAUUAAUCGUCAUAUUGAAAAUAGCGAAACGCUCGUCGUGCAUCGAGUCUAGCUGUGCCCGGGAUCAACAUAAUUCGGAGUCGCGAGAGUCCUCUCUUUUCUCUCUUUCUCAUCGCAGUCGUUCCACUGUACGUUGCGUAUGUCUCGCGAUUCUUUUACCUUUCUCGAGUUUGUUUUCCCGUCGUCGCGUGUCGCGAUAAAGGAUGUGUGACGACGACGCGUCGAAGCGAUCGAAUUAACCUCGAAAUAUUGUGUCAAGUGUCGCGCGAUCGUCAUUAAUUAUGUUUUCGCGAGUGAAUUUUGUGCAAGUGUGGAAUUCUAACCUGUAAGGAGGAGGCGGGCUGAGAGGCAUCGGGCAACGACGGAGCAACUUUGAGUUCGUGAUACACACAACUCUGCUGCUAUGCAUCAGUGUUGGUCUGUAUUUUCGUACGGUUGUUACAUGACUAACUAAGCAGACGGGAAAGUUCAUCAACGUCCAGUCAGAUCCAUUGUCUUCUGUAACGAACAGACCGUUACUGUUUCUUUAUUACAAAACAGGAUGGUGCAACACGUGAUGGCGAGCACCGGUUAGAAACUCCAGACGUAGGGAGCGCGCACAGGGACCAUGGCACAGGAUACAAGGAUACAGAUCCGAUUAGAUCCCGCUAAAAUUAUAAGUAUCUCUCUUCAUUACUGGAUUUUGCAGCCGCUGCAGUUCGUCGUAAAGGUAUAAAUGGGAGUAAAGGAAGAAGCGUGCUUGGUGGAAGUCACUGUCAACGACUUCAAAUGAUGAUAAUGGAAAUCAAUUUACCCUCUGUGCGUGUCUCGCACGUUCACGCAUGAACGAUUCCCAUCGUACGCUUGUUAAAUUUACUAGCCAAUGCUUGUAAUUACACUUGGUAAUUUUUUUCUUAUGACCGUACGACAAGAUGUAAAAGAUUAAUUAAAUACAAGUAACAUGAACCUUAGCCAGAUAUGUAAUUGAUUAAUGUAAAAUUUCAAAAAUUUUAUUUAUUACUGAUAUAUAAUGAUUUCUAUAUAGGGGAUAGAAAAUAAUUUUUAAUAUUUAAUAUUUCCGAAUAUACAUAACAUGAUUUUUUUAAAUUGAUCUAUACUUUUCCAUAUUACUGAAAUUUUUGUAAUUUAAAGUGAUAAAUUUGUGCUAUUUAUUUUAUAUAAUUAUUCUCGUAAUAAAAAUAGUUUCCAGUUUACUAUUUAUUUAUGCUUCAUGCGGAAUAUAUAAUUCUCGCGGUUGCUAGUGUCAUUUACAUAUUUCGAGUUUCAUCGAUUUCUCCUAUUCGAUUUUCACCACAUAACACGCUAUGCAUCAGUGAUGUACAUACCGCACUGUUGACGUACGCUCGGCGCGGCGCGUCGCGUUGGCUAUGACACGCACGACCUGCGCUUUUCAGAACGUGGCUUUUUUCCAACGCUCUCACGCCGUCAGCGUGAUCACUGGUGGACAAAGAAGACGACCGGAAGUUUCGCGCGGAACGGGAUGCGGACGUUUUUACAGAAAGCUCGCGGAAAAAUUGGUCUCUGUACGCAAUAAUGCGCACACGCGCGCGGUAACACGGGUCGGCCACAAUGCGCCGGUAAUUGAUCGUGAAGGGGCUAGCUAACGUAUCUUCCAGGAACGGAUUUGUGUCGGCGAAAUGCCGCCACUUUUAUUCCGUUUAAUGAACAAUCGAAGUCGCUUUCAGAAUGCACGCAUGAUUUACGAUUUCCGCGAAAGUGAGCUCGACGCGUGGGACGUGCAUGCGUCGCUAUUAUCGUUGCUUCCUGCUGUGAUCUAAUAAUUGAAAGAACAAGUGAUUAAAGGAAAUAUAUAGCAUAUUCUUGCCAAAGUUGAGUGAUUUACUCCGAAUAAUCAUAAUUUGUUUAACCAGUUUAACUGUCUUAAAUUAAAUAAAGAUGAAUACUAAAUAUAGCAUGUCAAUGUAGGCAUAACGAAUUUGUAAAUAACGUUUAGAUUCUAAAUUGGAUUUACAGUACAUACGGAGACACUAGAUAGUAAAUUUAAAUACGAAUGUAAUAAAUACCUCUACCGGAAACAAAUUACUGAAAUGACACCCAACAAAGCGGAAAGAGGUAUCCAUUUUUCACGGCUCUGAGUCAUUGCCAGGUGAGGUGAGUUCUCACCCAAGGGAAGAAAAAGAGAUGGCCCCCGACUAAUUUCACAAACUUCCGAUUACACCCCGUCGUAAUUACGCGCCAUCAUUUCCUUUAUUCGCUUUCCGAGAAAGCGCUGCGCUUUCGUUCAGGAAGAUAUCCUCGCGGUGAGCGCACCGGGAUACCUUUGUUCGAUGCGGAAACGUGUCGUCACUGGUAAUUACAUGGAUGCCAGUCAGCCAUGAUACCGAUAGACGACCUAUUUUUUUUCCUUUUUAACCCGUUCCAUGAUCAUGCUUGCGGGAAAGAAAUUCCAAUGUGCCCGCAUGUCUAUCGAAGAUAAAUAUCCUGUCAAGCAAGAAAUUCUAGGAACUGGCGCUAUACAAAAUCGCGCGUAUGAGCUUGAUAUGUAUAAAUGAAUUUGGCCUACAUAUAGCUCGGACUUCGAUAAAAAUGCUCAUAGAAAUUGUGAAAGAAUUUGUAGGAUAAUGGACAGUUACUGUUAGUUUUCAUUUUUCUGGAUUUAUUUAUAUACAUAUAAAUGAAAUUUCGUAUGCUUUAAUCAAUUUUUUCUGACUCGACACAGAGUUGUAUCUGAAAAUUUUUGCGAGAAAGGUUUCUCACAGCAAUAAAUAUCGGUUCCUCGAAAAUUUCCUCACUAUAUUACGCACUUAAUGCUUGACAUUUUCACAAUGCAAGCAGUUCGUAAAGAUGCAUCGACCAGGUAACUACAAUGCAUAUAUGUGCACACGUGUUCGCUAAUGGCCGUGUAUUGACGAUGCACCACCAGCUCAAAGCAAACCUGAUGGGUACGAAUAACGAGCCAUUGUGUCGUUCCGAAAAUGCAUUCCCCUCUUGUAUUCAUGUCUUUCUCUGCAGUCAAUAUAACAAAUAACAUCCGUUAUUUAUAUUUACUUAUAAUGAAGUUAAUUUUGCUGACUCAAGUAAACCAUCCUUGCUUUCUUUUUCAUGUGCUGCGCUAAACAGUUCAAUUAUUUAACUUAAUUUAACAAUUUGAUUCUGUUUCACAUAUUGUAAAUUGCACAAUCAAAAUCACGAGAACUUACGUUCUAUAUCUAACUCUCAUUCACUGGAUUUCUUUUCUCAUUUGUACUAAUUUCUACUUUAUUAAUUUUAUGCAACAAACUCUUGAAACAAACUUGAAGAUCUCUUGCUCGAUAGUUUUCUUCCAAAAUUUUCUAUAAAUGGCCGUCGUUUGUUCACGCAUUAGCACACGACCGAAAGGACGUAUUAUAGUUUUGCUUAUUGGUUAAUGUGUAUUCCAAAAUGUGUCUUUUUUAUAUAUUAUUUAAAUAUCAGAGCUAGAAUAGCGCGCAUUUUAUUUUGUGUGCGCCUCACAAAGAAGGGCUAUUGCGCCUAUUUCCAAACAACUAACUUUAUAUAUGUUCUUCAUUCGCGAUAGAUUAAGUCGGUUAAGUCGUGCAUGAAAAUCAUCAUAACUCGGCCAGGUGGAAAAUCACGAAAUAAAUUUGCAAAGUCGAUCGCCUUCGCAACAUUAUCAUGUGAUAAAAUUAGCGAUGAAGAUAUUAGGAUAUUAACCUAAAUGUAAAACAAUGAUAAAGAAGGAGGGUCAUCUAUACAAGUUCGAUAAUAGAAUUUGAUCAAAUCACAAUUUAUUAUUGUAGAGAAGAUUCAUUAUACUCUAACUUACUCGUACCUUACAAUAAUUUUUAUCUAAGCAUGCGAGUUUCGGUCGGAUGUGCUACAUCGUAAUUAUUUUUUCUCUUUUAAUUACAGUGGGAAUUUUUAAUUAAUAACAGUAAAACAAAUCCUAUCCUAUCUA
Molecule: long non-coding RNA, 4250 nt
Filed under: Monomorium pharaonis (pharaoh ant)
Lineage: Eukaryota; Metazoa; Arthropoda; Insecta; Hymenoptera; Formicidae
Description: uncharacterized LOC105839843, transcript variant X1
Source: RNAcentral